AUACGGAGGAUGCGAGCGUUAUCCGGAUUUAUUGGGUUUAAAGGUUGCGCAGGCGGGCGAUUACGUCAGCGGUGAAAGGCUAGGGCUCAACCGGAGCAGUGCCGUUGAUACUGGUUGGCUUGAAUUCGGUCAAGGCCGGAGGAAUGUGGCGGGUAUCGUUGAAAUGCAUAGCUAUGCCACAGAACACCGAUAGCGAAGGCAGCUGGCCGGGCCUGCAUUGACGCUGAGGCACGAAAGCGUGGGGAUCGAACAGGAUUAGAUACCCUGGUAGUCCACGCUGUAAACGAUGGACACUCGUUGUCGGCGACAGACAGUCGGCGGCCAAGCGAAAGUGAUAAGUGUCCCACCUGGGGAGUACGGUCGCAAGGCUGAAACUCAAAUGAAUUGACGGGG
RNAcentral lists this ribosomal RNA (393 nucleotides) under uncultured bacterium. Its description in RNAcentral is "partial 16S ribosomal RNA". It matches the Rfam family "Bacterial small subunit ribosomal RNA", at positions 523 to 918 of the family's 1533-position model. The record is from RNAcentral.